CAGCUGCGGCGUUUCACUGGCAUAACGGCUGCCAUCGUCAGUGAUGUGCCGCGUCUGGCCGUGUAAUGACGUGUUGCUUUAAAGAAAUGUGCUGGCCAGCGUGAAAAUCCAUCGCUGGAACCAAGUUCAGUCUGCUUGGAGGCCACCCACGAAUGCGGAUUCACCUCGAAGCCUCUGGGCUUGUGCACCGCCUCCAAGACGCUGCUCACAGUUGUUCACCCCUUUGGACUCUGUUGUCUUUGGACGUACAAGUCAGCAGUGAAUGUGUCACCAAUGGCAGUAACAUCAAGGGCCAAAAUCCUCACAAGGAAGACGGACAAGAGAGAGAUUAUUAAUAUGCAAGCUGCCCACGCUAAGCCAUAAGAAGCUCAACGGUCACCAUAAUGACGACAGGUCCUCUUGAGCUGUGUGCCUCACCAUGAAAUGUUUGGAAGUUUAGCAGGCAGAGGGGCGUGAGCCCUAUGAAGAAAGCAAAAGUCUACAGUUUUGUAUCGUACCGAGCGGGUAUGCUAAAAUUUUGCGUACAAGCUUAUUUGCUUUUAAGGUCGUUUUAUGACAAACGGAGAAGUAACACGGUGAGUCCCAAGU
Molecule: long non-coding RNA, 588 nt
Filed under: Dermacentor andersoni
Lineage: Eukaryota; Metazoa; Arthropoda; Arachnida; Ixodida; Ixodidae
Description: uncharacterized LOC126542990
Source: RNAcentral